Molecule: ribosomal RNA, 505 nt
Filed under: uncultured bacterium
Lineage: Bacteria
Description: bacterial SSU rRNA
Rfam family: Bacterial small subunit ribosomal RNA
Source: RNAcentral
GACGAACGCUGGCGGCGUGGAUUAGGCAUGCAAGUCGAACGGUAUCAUCCUUUCGGGGGUGAGAGAGUGGCGAACUGGUGAGUAACACGUAGGUUAUCUACCCUCAAGACGGGGACAACCCAGGGAAACUUGGGCUAAUACCGGAUGUGAGCAACUUUUAGUUGUUUGAAAGGUGGCGUAAGCUGUCGCUUGGGGAUGAGCCUGCGUCCUAUUAGUUAGUUGGUGAGGUAACGGCUCACCUAGGCAAUGAUAGGUAGGCGGCCUUAACGGGUGGUCGCCCACACUGGGAUUGAGAUACGGCCCAGACUCCUACGGGAGGCAGCAGUCGAGAAUAGUCUACAAUGGUCGGAAGACUGAUAGUGCGACGCCGCGUGAACGAUGAAUCCCUUCGGGGCGUAAAGUUCUUUUAUAUGUGAGCAGUGCUUCUUAUAUUAACAGUAUGGGGAGAGAGAUAUUAGCAUAUGAAUAAGCAACGGCUAACUCCGUGCCAGCAGCCGCGGUAAAA